GUCUAUGGCCAAGCUACCCUGAACAAGCCCAAUCCUGUCUAAUCUUGGAAGCUAAGCAGGGCCGGGCCUGGUUAGUACUUGGAUGGGAGAUCACUUAGGAAGUCUAGGUACUGUAGGUG
Molecule: ribosomal RNA, 119 nt
Filed under: Pteropus alecto (black flying fox)
Lineage: Eukaryota; Metazoa; Chordata; Mammalia; Chiroptera; Pteropodidae
Source: RNAcentral